Long non-coding RNA from Rhea pennata, 4430 nucleotides. RefSeq lists it as uncharacterized. The record is from RefSeq and is a predicted model, not a curated record. Lineage: Eukaryota; Metazoa; Chordata; Aves; Rheiformes; Rheidae. The transcript has 7 exons.
CGCGGGAGCCGCCGCUCACAAGUGCGGCGAGAGCGACAGGGCUCAGCCGCAGCCCCCGCUCCCCCCGCCCGCCGCCGGGAAGAGGCCUCGGACGCGGACCGGGAGUUUCGGCGGGCGCCUCACGCUGCGGACGUGGUUCCCGCAGCACUCGGGGUGGGGGUUCGCGAGGGCGGCGGAGGCUGAGCCCGGCUGAGGAGCGCGUGGGGGGCGGCCGCCCGCGGCCCGGCGCACAGCGGCCGGCGGCACCCUGGUAGCUCGCAUUUUUGCCGUGAAAAUCGAAAAAAUGUUGUGAUAGUAAUCCCUGAAAAACUCCAGAAGCAGAAGGCACACAGGAAGGACAUGCUAAAUCUGUCAGCUGCAAUUCUUCUUUUUACUGAAAAUUCAGUGCCAGGAGUUUUGAAGGUUUAAUCCGUGAGGUUAACACCUGGGACCGGUAGCAGCUUUCUCCGGCCAGCGGCGGCUUGUCUGCCCCGCUGCGGACGGGGAGCAGCGCUCGGCGCAAGGCUCAGGGCGAGCAACGAGAGGCUUGCAGCCGGCGCGGGGCUCUGCGCCGCCGGGCGCCCGCAGCGGUUUCGGCUCCCGCUCCGCCAAAGGAAGGCCCAGCUAGGGCGAGGCGAAGGGUUCACAGGCAAAGCGCGCUCACGGAAGUCACGAGCAACGAGGGACAGAAACAAGCUUACUCAGUCGGGAUGCGAGUGCUGUCAUUGGCGUGUCUAGGAAAGGACCGACAAGAUCCGAAACGCUGGUGAGGAAUCCACAGCUCUCGGCAGGGACAGGCUUCCUCGGGAACACAACCUCUUUCAUGAAAUAAUUCUCUCUGUGCCUGCUGCAAGCGGCACCCGACAGAGCCGCGUUACUCGAGCGGGACCCUGUGCACCGUGUAAAAUAGACAGUUCGGUGCCGACUCCUUCGGGAGUGCGCGUGGAAAGCUGUCUGUAAUUUCCAUACACACAGCAGGGCAGCUGUAAUAAUUCCGAAGCAUGCUGCGGACGUGCUGGCUGUGUCGGCGUUGUCUCCGGCUCUAAUUGCGCGGUGAGGCGCGCGACGAGGCGGCCCUUCAGAGGGACGCUGGCUGCUGGGCCCUUCUGCCAAGCGGGCGAUAACGCGGCAAGGAGGUGCCCGGCUGGAGUCCUGCUGGGAGCCUGAGCUCAAAAGCCUGCCUGAAAGAGGAUGAAGGUGAUGACGAGUCUUCAGAAAACGGGGGGAGAAAAAUCUGUCAAAAAGGUGGUUGUGGUGCAAGCUCCAGGCGAGGAGCCCGUAGCAGCAGAGGCACGGGAGGGCAAACAGUGUCGCUGCGAGGGCUGCCCAAGCCAGGAGCAGCUGGCUGCGGCUUCUCCUUGGGAUAGCGACGGGCCAUGGCGGGGCACCAUCGCGGCCGGGCGCAGGGGCAGGAGCAGCAGAGGGAAGGAAAACGCAGCUGGCUGAGGCAUCGCCAGCCGAUCUUUGUGAACGCCUCGCGGAUGGAGUUGCACCAACAACUCGUCUGGUGCAAUCGCUUGUGCAAAACAGCAUAUGGAGAGUGUUACAAGAUGGAUCAAGCCAUCGGCGACAGAAAAAACAGCCUUGUGAAAUUCUGAUCACCACCCUGAAAGUGUCAUAUACACUCGCUUUCCACUGAAAUUAGCAGAAAUGGUAUGAAUGGGGCGUUUGGCUUCUUGUGCGAUCACUGAGAUGAGUAGCUGAUGUGUAGCCUCUGGAUACAUCUGCUCAAAAAUGAACUGAUAGUGUUACCAAAAUCAUGCAGAAGAUGACCUAGACUGAACUUCUACUUUCCCCCAAAGCCUUUUGCUGUUGGUAGUAUCUUCUUGUUUCUCUCAGAAAACUUCUCUAGCUUCUGUUCUGGGUAUGUUAGGACUUGCUGUUGCUAUAAAAACUUUAAUUUUGAAAUUAAAUCUAUGUAUUUUCUGAUAUAUUUCCCUGUGUGUGUAUACACACACACACACACACACAUAUAUAUAUAUAUAUUUAAAAAAUUUAGCAUUCAUCAAUGAACUUGCAAUUCCCUUGAAAAACACUGAAGGAAAAUGCUGUGUUUCCCGUCUAGAAGGAACACUACAGCCAAAGAAAAGACCUUCUAUGUAAGAGAAGAACCUCGCUUUCCUUCUGCUUGUGAAUAAAUCACUAAUUUCUGAUAGUUUACUUUUCUACUGUAUAACUGCAUGAUUGGUCAAGUGCUGAUGCAAUGAAGGUUAAUUGUUGCAAACUUACUAAGUAACCACCUAGAUUAACAUUGAUACAGAAAGGUUUUUAUGUAAAACAGAUUUUUAUGUAAAAAAUAUGUAAAGCAGCAUCUUUGCAUAUCUUUACCUUGAUACUUCAAUAAUUCUAUUACCACCAAUCAUCAUGUUUAACGAGACCACAACACUCUCUUCAUGAGCUGAUAUCCAGUUAUGCAUCCCAGCUCAGUUACCCAAGAAGCACGUGCAGUUUGUGAAACAUCGUUUUAGGAGUUACCACUUCCCAAGUGAAUUAUAGAAACCCAGAAAGAGGUUUAUUUUCCACUGGAAAAAGAAGCCCUGACUGUUUUACAGCCCGCUCCAGGACAGCAGUAGACUAAGAGGUCCCACCCUCCAAGACCGGAGCAGGCACAAGCGUUGUCAGCGAUUGGGGCGAUGCCGGAGGGGCACAGAACGGGGGACCUGAGUGCUCCUAGCUAAGGGAGUCCCCUGCACGUAACCCCGUACAGUCAAGCAGCAGAGUGUUGAGCCCAGGAGGUCACUUCUGGUUAGGAGCACUCACUUUCCUUGUGCGAGGAGCCCAAUUCUUGCACUGCUGCUUUCACUGUUCCCUUUUGACUUGCUGUUGGCUGUUUCCAGUGAGAAAGUACUAUGCAGAAAAUAAAGAAACGUGAGAGCACGUGAGGAAAAAAAAAAUCAGAUGCCAUUUUACUUGUUCCAAAAAGUGAGUUUAGGAGGUGAGAACAUAAUAACAGCUAUAUAUCUUGUCUUUGAAAGGACCAAAUAGUAGAGAAAUUAAGCAACAGAGGCUUUUGGUAAGAACUAUACGAAAAGGUAAAUCCUUGUACAUUAGCAGACACAGGUGUUAGCAGGCACAGAAGACCACCUGUUGACUUACACCUGUUAUGUUUGUUUAGUCUCUUCUAAAUAUUUAGCACCUGUACCAUGAUUUGUGUUUUUCCUAAGAAACAAAACAAGAAAUAUUAUCGUUUUCCCUCUGUCAUAGAGCCUGAUUUUCCAGUUGUGAAACAGGUUUCCUGUGAAAGUAACUCCACUGACUUAACUGAAGCAUUUCCAUAGGCCAAAUUUUUCAGAUGUAAGUAUCUAAAAUAAGGUUCUUAAUUCCAUAGUUAGGUACCUGCAUAGAGGUGGCCUGGUUUUUGAAAUGCUGUGGAUUGACAUAUCCUGCUGAAGUCAAUGGGAGCUGCAGAUGAUUUUUUCUUGGAAAAUCAGACCAUUUUUAUUUAAAUGCCCCAGUACUGCUAUGGGCUAACAUUGGACAUACCGGGAUGAAGGUUUUUAUUUCCUAUCCCUAUGUAUAAUUGCACUGGAAUAUAUCCAGUAUGCAGAGUUUUCAAAGCAUAGUAUGUUGUGGUAUAUGAAUAUAGCCCAUUUUGUCAGACUUGCUGAUAUGCUGAUCUGUAUUUGGGGGUUCAAAAUAAAAAGAUAACAUGAAUUUGUUUUCCUCUCUCUUGGAUCCUGAUACAUGCCCCAAAUGUAGCUGCAAGGCCCCUCGGGGCUGUUCUGCAUUAGACUGGCGAGACUUAAGAGCCAUCCAGGAGGAACUGCUGCCCGACGGGAGAUGAGCCCGAACCAGGAGGGCCUUCCUGGCUCCAGCCAUGAGCUCACCCCAACACUCCAGCUAUCUCUGUAAAUGCUACUGAGAAGUACUUAAAUUCAGCUGUUAAAGGAAGAUGAAUAGAGCUAAAAUGUACACUCAGAAGUACUGGAGGUUGAAGCUUGUGGCCACAACACAAAGGAAGGCAGACAUAUGGCAGGGGAACAAGGUCUAUCCGAUAACACUGUCACGCUGUGAUUUUGUACAUCCAGUGGCCAGUUCCAGCCAAGCAUCACACAGGGAUGGAGUUCUUAAGAGAACAAAGCUCAGAUGGAUUUCAUGAAAAGCCACAGCUCUAUUAUAUAUUUAUGUGGUUGGAAGUGAAACACACUUUCUUUUUUGUUUGGAAGUGAAGCAAUACCUAAGCAGAAAUGGGUCAAGAAAUGGACAAUAAGAGGAGAAGCUGACUGUAAAAUCUCCUGCAACCAUGAAGACUGCAACACUGCACAUCAAACCUGGCUUAAUCUUCUCAUAUCCCCUAGAACUUUUCUCUCUCUCUCUCUCUUUUUUUUUUUUAAUGUUAAAUGUUUUUCAGGCUGGCACCUACACUUCCUGAUGGCUUGAACUCUUGAGAAGAAUUAGGAAGUAAUUGAAAACUGUCUUAUGAUUUGGUUCAUUAAUUAAGAAUAAAACAU